Molecule: ribosomal RNA, 449 nt
Filed under: Clostridiales bacterium canine oral taxon 162
Lineage: Bacteria; Bacillati; Bacillota; Clostridia; Eubacteriales
Description: bacterial SSU rRNA
Rfam family: Bacterial small subunit ribosomal RNA
Source: RNAcentral
GAGUUUGAUUCUGGCUCAGGACGAACGCUGGCGGCAUGCUUAACACAUGCAAGUCGAACGGGCUGAUUCCUUCGGGAUGAAAGCUAGUGGCGAACGGGUGAGUAAUGUAUGAGUAACCUGCCCUUAUCUACGGGAUAACAUUUGGAAACAAGUGCUAAUACGGUAUAAGACCACAGCACCGCAUGGUGCAGGGGUAAAAGAUUUAUCGGAUAAGGAUGGACUCAUAUCCCAUUAGCUAGUUGGUGAGAUAACAGCUCACCAAGGCGACGAUGGGUAGCCGAGCUGAGAGGCUGAUCGGCCACAUUGGAACUGAAACACGGUCCAGACUCCUACGGGAGGCAGCAGUGGGGAAUAUUGGGCAAUGGAGGAAACUCUGACCCAGCAAUGCCGCGUGAGCGAUGAAGGUCGUUGAUUGUAAAGCUCUUUUCCUAGGAACGAACAAAAUGACG